GGUCCCGUAGUGGAGCGGUUUAACACGCCUGCCUGUCACGCGGGAGAUCGCGGGUUCGAUUCCCGUCGGGACCGCCA
This 77-nucleotide transfer RNA is filed under the name Staphylococcus pseudintermedius. Its description in RNAcentral is "tRNA-Asp". It matches the Rfam family "tRNA". Rfam says of the family: Transfer RNA (tRNA) molecules are approximately 80 nucleotides in length. Their secondary structure includes four short double-helical elements and three loops (D, anti-codon, and T loops). Lineage: Bacteria; Bacillati; Bacillota; Bacilli; Caryophanales; Staphylococcaceae. The record is from RNAcentral.